Molecule: RNA transcript, 5623 nt
Organism: Dendroctonus ponderosae (mountain pine beetle)
Lineage: Eukaryota; Metazoa; Arthropoda; Insecta; Coleoptera; Curculionidae
Gene name: trinucleotide repeat-containing gene 18 protein
Exons: 4
Source: RefSeq, a predicted model, not a curated record
CUUCUAACAAACGGAGCCGAACAGUUCGUGGCGGCCAUCAGAAAGGCUCGGAAGCGCGUCGAAUUAACACCCGGCAGCCAUUUGUCAGCGCAGGAUGACGGCCGGCAGAAAAUUGAUCAAAUACUGACCAGAAAUCACACCCCAUCAGUUAAAUGUCCAUCUGAACGGCCAGAUUCGAGCCGCAUUGAUUCUCGCGAUCUGAUUUUUCACAAUCCCAGCAGGCUAUGAACAGUUUUAGAGCAGCUACGGCGACAGGCGGCCGAUCGAGAGUGCGGCGACAACGUCCUGGGACAGAGCGCGCUCUUUUCAAAUGUUUGUUGUGUUGAUGUGUCGACUUUCUCAGUCAGAUCAGUGAGGCCGCGUCAUCACAUGCACAAACAGCAGACAGAUAAAAGAUAAUGUACUGCGAAUUGGUUACUGCUCUGCCUCACGAAACUAGGUUGAAAUACUAGACAUCAACAGAAGAUGGUACUACCGAGCCAUCAGGGCUCGGCCAAAAUAUGCAGCUUACUCAAGGUCGCCAUUUUUCGAAAAGACUUCGUAUUCAACUGGGAUCCAACGCGUGCGCGGUGUUUAACAUAAGCUGCACACAUUCAUCAAAGACUAAUAAUAAUCAAACCAGAAAUCUCAACAGUAAUUCCAUUAAUAAUAUCCUUACGCUUAAGCAGAUUAGUAUUCUAUGCAUAAAGACAACGUCAGCAUCACUACUUAAUCCCAUUUGUAUAGAACUAUGAAUAUUAGCAUCCUUACGACUAACCAUAUACAUAUCAUCAAGGUAGGCUUCAAAGAGUAACACUGACGUCACCGUGGUCUCUUUGUAUGAAGGGUUGCUGGUCAAGAUUCCGACCAGAGCCCUUACGGCUUACCCACUGGCCUCCCUAUUAUUCUACGUCAUCAUCUUUUUGACAGCGGUGGUCCGGGCCUCCAGCACACCGUUUAAAUACCCUCAUAAUUCCAAACUCAUAACCUCUUCCAGUUUAGUUUUAAGGAAAAGUGAUACUAGCAUAAUACCCCCUAGUUCUAAAACUCACUAUUCAUAUUCAGCCCUUCAAAGCGCCAAUAGUAUCGACCUUACCGACCCGACCCGAUCUGGUGAAAGACACUUAACCCAACCGACCGACGACAAUAGUGUUAGAAAUUCCGAAGUUUUCAAUAAUAGUGAUAGUGACGACAUUUUAAAGGAAAGUGUAACGAAAUUUUCGACGCGACUUAACAAUACGCGAACCGAAACUUUUAAGAGGGCGAAGUCUUCAUACGUCAACCCAAAUUCGACUGUCACCGGGGGACGGAAGACUUUCGACAGCGUUUACUUGUCCAUGCCAUCGGCGCAUGCGCAGGAUACAGACUCAUAUGCUGUCGGUAGUAAGCGCCGGUGCCGCGGCUGGUAUGGGCGGCAUGGACCGGUUGCGAGGCGGCGGAAGGGCGGCAGCAAGAGAACUGGCCGCCACCCGCGACCGGCAGGUACGACUGCAUGCUGUGACAACCGAUCUGAGCCUGAACCUGCCGCCCAGUAUAGCGUUGCCUGAUGGAGAGGAAUAUCAUUAUCACCAUCGCCACCACCACCACCAUCGAACCGCCUAUUCAUCCCGUUCUCGAUUUCAUAUGAGGACUCCCGAACAAGAAGCGGAAAUUUAUCAGAAAUGUGUCCGACCGCCACCCAAUAGAUCAGCCAGGGAGAGCAAGUCUCCUCCCCCGUACCGAUCGAGUUCGGCUGGUGUCUUGGCUUCCAGCUCCUCUUCUUCGGGCGCUAGCAGCGAUUGGAGCUCAUCCUCAGGAAGUGAUCCCAUGGUGGUGCGAUGCCACUCAAUGUCCUCCACUUCAUCUGCGAUGUCCUGUAAACCGGAAGUGUCCGGCACGUCCCACCACCACAGCGUUUCGUCUCAGAGUGCGCAAAAGACUGACUUUCUGCAACGGACUGUUAAGAUAUUUACUGGUAAAAAAUCGCCUGCAACGAGCAGUAGUCAACCGAUGGCGGCUGCACCGUGUGUGAUAGUACCGACUGCGGCGGCGCAAAAUCGGGCCCAACCCAGGCGGGACGCAGGCCCAGGCCAGAAGCCUCCUGUCUGACUACCGCCCCCCGUUUAGAUGAAAAUUUUCGUGGAUAUUUAUUCCAAAAAUUAAAUUGUAGCGAUGGUCUGCCCGGUAUUCACUUGCAACAUUGUCUAGCAAUCUUCAAAGGUCUGAACAACAACGUUGAUCGUUACUGGUUUAACAAUAUUCCAAAUUCCUAGUAAAUUGCUUUGAACUAUGAUGUCAGACAGUGGGAAAUCAAAGCACACCAUCACUGAGAGAAACUUUGAAUUUCGGUCCGGAGCUGAACAUUUGAUGUUUGGGCAGCCAAAACAAUUAACAGAAUAAUUGUAGUUAAACUAAUGUUGAUGAACUGUCGAGAAACGGCCAUUGGAUUCAUCAAAGUUUAGCGAGUCCUGGCCUAUAGGGUGCUGGUCAGCUAGUGUGCGUUCGUUAUUUGCAAUAACUGAUCUAGAUUAAGUCGAAAUUAUGGUCGAUAUCGAUUAUGGUCAAUAUCGAAAACCCAUUGCUCAGUCGUUGCAGUGUAGAAAACCGAUGGACAACUUCUGGAUGUGAUUCACUGUGAAUGGACAAAUAAUUCGCGAAAUAUCUGAGCCCCGGCAACCCUACGUAUUUCACUAGUUUAAUCGAUUUGACGAGGCGCGGUGUGCGUAGCCAAAUAUUUUAUAACUUAUGUACUGUGUACAUGGUAUAGAUGGAAGCUGCUUUUGGACUGAAAAUCCUGUUUUACGUAACACCUUUCAACAUAACUCGUUGAGUUCACCACAGUAUUAUUAAAACAAAUAUAGUCGUUACUUUGAGACCUAUUUUAGACUCGAUUGCUUUGAAAUUGUUCCCGCUCUCUUAAAACAAGGGUUUCAUAUCAACAGUGCGCUUCCCCAAAAUCAUGCUAUAAUUAUAUGAAUCAAAAUGUAUUUGGCGAAAGAGCCGCUAGGUCGCAACAAGAGAUAUUCCAAUUAAAGUAAACCAAUUAUCUAUUAAGUAGUAGAACGUUGUUCUGUUUUUAAAUAUUGUUUAUUGAGGCAAACUUCAAAGGGAAUCGCCACUAAAUAUGCGACAUGUUAAUACAUCAGCGUAACUUUUAAAUCUUAAUUUAUUCCCGUAUUUAUUAUUUAUUAAAAUCAAUUUUUGUACCUAAAACUAAAUGAAUUUAUGCUGAGCUCGUGACAUUUAUGGAGGUUCCCAUCCAAGUGCAACAAGCUAGAAAGAAGACUUAGUGAAUUAUUCAUAAGCAAAUUUCGUUUAACAUUUUUUACGUUUAUUUAUAAUUUAUUGCUAAAACGUGUUCAUUCUAUAUUGUAAGAGAUUUUAGCGUCGUUUUACCAACACUCAUAUUUUUGGGUUUCAUUGCUUUUUUCACUACAAAUGCCAUUGGUACCGUUUCGUCACUUAAUUUUUACAUUACUCAACUCGAAAUACAAGUAAGUUACUACUUGUUUAGUCUAGAAACGGUACUAACAGCCACGAUAAUAACAUCCUCUAAAUGGGUUUUUUCAACAUCGAAAACUGUUUUAACUUUUUAAAAGUGCAAACACUUUAUCCACAUGUUUUUGGCUAUUUCUAGUUGAAAAAUAUAAUGGGGCCCGCAAACAAACUAGCUAAGAAUUGAAGUUUCAAAUCUAUAAUACAAAACUAUUGUAAAUGGUAGACGGGAAAUGUAUGUUAGUGACAGCAUAAGCAUUAUUGUGAUGAUUAUGUAAACUAUUAGGUGCUUGGGAAACAUAUGUGCAUUUAAACUUCACCAAAUCGACAGUGUUUGAUAAAGGAAUGUGCAGCAAAACGUUUGCUCCUGAUCAAUGAAAACAGUCCCCGCUAAUAUUUGUUGCUCUAUAUAUGUUUGCCAUUUAUUUUUUACUAGCCGAAUGGAAUUUUUUAUUCGAACAAUUCGAAAUAUAUUAUUAUAAAAUAUCGAUUAUAUAUUAUUUGAUCAUUCAAUCAAAUGGAGGAAACGGUCGAAACGAUCUUGGUUCAUUACAGUAAACAACAGAUUCAUCCAAUUGGGGAAAACCGAUAGAUUUUUGAGGAUGGUUCUGCUGCCAAUUUUGCCACUUCAUUUUUACGAUUUAGUUGGAAUUUGGAAUUCAUCUGUGACUUUUUUGUCUUCAUUGUGAGUGCGUUCUCCUUAUUCUAGGCAAUGGUUGGAAUAAUGAACCUGUUUGCCGACAAUCGCCGAAUGACCAAAAUGAAAGUGAGGAAACUGCAAAUUGACAAAAAGUUGCCGUAGUAUGCGCAUUUUCAUAUUUCCUGCUGCUGCUGCAAAGCUCUUCCCCAGUUAAUAUAAAAUAUCACAGAUUGCUUCUCUUCUCCUGAAUUUGCACACAAAUGAUUGUGGAUAGUUGUUGAAAGCAGACUGAAAAUUCACCAAGUCUUUAAUUUUAGUUUUUGUCGAUUCGUUUUCUAGAUUUCCACUUGAAAAAAUCUCCUCCAACUCCUAGUUCAUUUCUUCAGAAGGUUAAGUCUUCAGGUGCCUCCACAAUCAAGAAACCUUCAUCUGUCCUCUGCCAGUCUACUCUCGAACAUUUCGGUUUAUCGUAAAAGGCGCCCACUCAUCAUUCCUCAAGAAAUGUCCAAGAUCGGCACUUUGGUCGCCUAGAGUUGAUUUUUGUUUGCCCUUUGUAGGACAUUCUUGUUUGUAACACCGUAUUCUCAUCUAUGGAAGUUGGUUCACACCGCUAAACCGACCAUUCCUAACGUUCAAUUUUACAUUGAUCGAGAUUAUCAUCGCAGAGGAACGUUCUUAUUGUAUUGAAAGUUUCCCCAGAAGUUUCGAUAUGAAAUUUGAUCUCGUUAUCCCAAUUUCGAUCUUCUUUAAUAAUAGUUGCGUGAUGUUAUCAGGGUUCAUUUACAUUGAGUUCGAGGAUCAAAAAUCGUCAAUUUGAUGCUUAAGUAAACGUUCAACUUAGAGGUGAUAAAUCAGGCCUGAAUGCCGCGAAGAAAAUCUUGCUCUGUUAUCUUGCGGUGUUAAACGCGCAGUUACUAAGAGGCAAAGUAGGAACAAGUUCAGGAGAAAUAUUGGUGGGACGGUUAUUCUAAAAAAAUAACAACGUUCAUAUACUAAAAAAUUGUGCAUUAUGCAAUACAUAAGCUGUACCUAAAAGUAAUUGGACACACUCUCAUGAUAUAUUCACAGAUACUUGGGAGGCUGUCAAUUCCAACCAAAAUACCCUUAACUUGUUUAGUGAUAUAAUCAUUUGCAAAAUGAAUUGUAGUCUAAAAUGAAACUAGUUAAAUGUUUUCGCCUAUUCCAACUCAAUCGAUUUCAUCAUCUUGAUUUUGUUGUGCAUUUGUUUAUCAAAUAGCAAAAAUGGUGCAAUUGUAACAUAGAUCGUCAUAGUCACAUUUGUAAAAAAAGUUUUCGUUUUAUUUUGUUAGCCAGACUGCUUGCGAAAGAUCAAUAAGGAAUUCGCACUAGGUUUUAGUUUUGUACAUAUUCAAAGAUAAGGAAGAAGCAAGUCUGUAUUAUUUGUUUAUCCGUUUGUUUGUCUUUUAAGUGAUUCAUACAAAAUGAUUCUUUAGUUUAUACUUAGAUGUACUAUUUUUAUGUUAGUCGACGGUGUAUAGAAUAUUAUUUAUUAAAGUUAUAUAAAUAUUA